RNAcentral lists this ribosomal RNA (435 nucleotides) under uncultured Saccharofermentans sp. Its description in RNAcentral is "partial 16S ribosomal RNA". It matches the Rfam family "Bacterial small subunit ribosomal RNA", at positions 341 to 792 of the family's 1533-position model. Lineage: Bacteria; Bacillati; Bacillota; Clostridia; Eubacteriales; Oscillospiraceae. The record is from RNAcentral.
ACGGGAGGCAGCAGUGGGGAAUAUUGGGCAAUGGGCGAAAGCCUGACCCAGCAACGCCGCGUGAAGGAUGAAGGUCUUCGGAUUGUAAACUUCUUUGAUCAGGGACGAAUUUUGACGGUACCUGAAGAAUAAGUCACGGCUAACUACGUGCCAGCAGCCGCGGUAAUACGUAGGUGACAAGCGUUAUCCGGAUUUACUGGGUGUAAAGGGCGUGUAGGCGGUUUUGCAAGUCAGAUGUGAAAUUCCCGGGCUUAACUUGGGCGCUGCAUCUGAAACUGCAGAACUUGAGUACUGGAGGGGAUAGCGGAAUUCCUAGUGUAGCGGUAAAAUGCGCAGAUAUUAGGAGGAACACCGGUGGCGAAGGCGGCUAUCUGGACAGUAACUGACGCUGAGGCGCGAAAGCGUGGGGAGCAAACAGGAUUAGAUACCCUGGUA